RNAcentral lists this ribosomal RNA (253 nucleotides) under uncultured bacterium. RNAcentral's name for it is "partial 16S ribosomal RNA". It matches the Rfam family "Bacterial small subunit ribosomal RNA", at positions 524 to 776 of the family's 1533-position model. The record is from RNAcentral.
UACGUAGGGGGCAAGCGUUGUCCGGAUUUAUUGGGCGUAAAGGGCGCGUAGGCGGCGAUUCAAGUGACGGGUGAAAUCCCUCGGCUUAACCGAGGAACUGCCUGUCAGACUGGAUUGCUUGAGGCCGGGAGAGGCGAGUGGAAUUCCCAGUGUAGCGGUGAAAUGCGUAGAUAUUGGGAGGAACACCAGUGGCGAAGGCGGCUCGCUGGACCGGUUCUGACGCUGAGGCGCGAAAGCGUGGGGAGCAAACAGG